This 468-nucleotide ribosomal RNA is filed under the name uncultured bacterium. RNAcentral describes it as "partial 16S ribosomal RNA". It matches the Rfam family "Bacterial small subunit ribosomal RNA", at positions 28 to 507 of the family's 1533-position model. The record is from RNAcentral.
GACGAACGCUGGCGGCGUGCUUAACACAUGCAAGUCGAACGGAAAGGCCCUGCUGUUGUGGGGUGCUCGAGUGGCGAACGAGUGAGUAACACGUGAGUAACCUGCCCUUGACUUUGGGAUAACUUCAGGAAACUGGGGCUCAUACCCGAUAGGAGCUCCUGCUGCAUGGUGGGGGUUGGAAAGUUUCGGCGGUAGGGGAUGGACUGGCGGCUAAUGAGCUUGUUGGUGGAGUAGUGGAUGACCAAGGUUUUGACGGGUAGCCGGCAUUGGAAGGUGAACGGGCACCAGACGACUACGGGACGCCGCAGACGCGUACUGGAGGCAACGGGGGGAAGUAUGACACAGUGAGGGGGAGCGUGAUACGACGGCGCCGGGUGCGUAAUGACGGCCUUCGGGGUGUAAACCGCUUUCUCCUGAGACAGAGCGGGAGUGACGGUAAUGGAUAAAGAAGCACCGGCUAACUACGUG